ACUCGAGUGGCGAACGGGUGAGUAACACGUGGGUGAUCUGCCCUGCACUUCGGGAUAAGCUUGGGAAACUGGGUCUAAUACCGGAUAGGAGCCAUUCUUUAGUGUGUGGUUGGAAAGUUUUUCGGUGUAGGAUGAGCUCGCGGCCUAUCAGCUUGUUGGUGGGGUAAUGGCCUACCAAGGCGGCGACGGGUAGCCGGCCUGAGAGGGUGUACGGCCACAUUGGGACUGAGAUACGGCCCAG
This 241-nucleotide ribosomal RNA is filed under the name uncultured Actinomycetales bacterium. Its description in RNAcentral is "partial 16S ribosomal RNA". It matches the Rfam family "Bacterial small subunit ribosomal RNA", at positions 89 to 334 of the family's 1533-position model. Lineage: Bacteria; Bacillati; Actinomycetota; Actinomycetes; Actinomycetales. The record is from RNAcentral.